RNAcentral lists this non-coding RNA (27 nucleotides) under Mus musculus (house mouse). Lineage: Eukaryota; Metazoa; Chordata; Mammalia; Rodentia; Muridae. The record is from RNAcentral.
UGGAAUUGAACUCAGGACUCUGGAACA